UGGCUCAGUGAUAGAGCGCUUGCCUUGAAUGCAUGAGGCCCUGGGUUCGAUUCCUCAG
This 58-nucleotide transfer RNA is filed under the name Dipodomys ordii (Ord's kangaroo rat). It matches the Rfam family "tRNA", at positions 8 to 63 of the family's 71-position model. From Rfam's summary of the family: Transfer RNA (tRNA) molecules are approximately 80 nucleotides in length. Their secondary structure includes four short double-helical elements and three loops (D, anti-codon, and T loops). Lineage: Eukaryota; Metazoa; Chordata; Mammalia; Rodentia; Heteromyidae. The record is from Rfam by way of RNAcentral.